Molecule: ribosomal RNA, 370 nt
Filed under: uncultured organism
Description: bacterial SSU rRNA
Rfam family: Bacterial small subunit ribosomal RNA
Source: RNAcentral
CGUAGGGUGCGAGCGUUAAUCGGAAUUACUGGGCGUAAAGCGUGCGCAGGCGGUUUUGUAAGCCAGAUGUGAAAUCCCCGGGCUUAACCUGGGAAUGGCAUUUGGGACUGCAAGGCUGGAGUGCGGCAGAGGAGACUGGAAUUCCUGGUGUAGCAGUGAAAUGCGUAGAUAUCAGGAGGAAUACCGAUGGCGAAGGCAGGUCUCUGGGCUGACACUGACGCUCAUGCACGAAAGCGUGGGGAGCAAACAGGAUUAGAUACCCUGGUAGUCCACGCCCUAAACGAUGUCGACUGGUUGUUGGGGGUUUGACACUCUCAGUAACGAAGCUAACGCGUGAAGUCGACCGCCUGGGAGUACGGCCGCAAGGUUA